RNAcentral lists this ribosomal RNA (374 nucleotides) under uncultured bacterium. RNAcentral's name for it is "bacterial SSU rRNA". It matches the Rfam family "Bacterial small subunit ribosomal RNA", at positions 524 to 898 of the family's 1533-position model. The record is from RNAcentral.
UACGUAGGCAGCAAGCGUUGUUCGGAAUUACUGGGCGUAAAGAGUGUGUAGGCGGUUCUCUAAGUUCCGUGUGAAAUCUCCCGGCUUAACUGGGAGGGUGCGCGGAAGACUGGAGGGCUGGAGUAUGGGAGAGGAAAGCGGAAUUCCUGGUGUAGCGGUGAAAUGCGUAGAUAUCAGGAGGAACACCUGCGGUGUAGACAGCUUUCUGGACCAUCACUGACGCUGAGACACGAAAGCGUGGGUAGCAAACAGGAUUAGAUACCCUGGUAGUCCACGCCCUAAACGAUGCAUACUUGGUGUGAGCCGUUCAUUCGGUUCGUGCCGGAGUUAACGCGUUAAGUAUGCCGCCUGGGGAGUACGGUCGCAAGGCUGAA